This 1211-nucleotide ribosomal RNA is filed under the name Leptospira borgpetersenii serovar Hardjo-bovis. RNAcentral's name for it is "partial 23S ribosomal RNA". It matches the Rfam family "Bacterial large subunit ribosomal RNA", at positions 1 to 1252 of the family's 2925-position model. The record is from RNAcentral. Lineage: Bacteria; Pseudomonadati; Spirochaetota; Leptospiria; Leptospirales; Leptospiraceae.
GGUUAAGCGAACAAGCGUACACGGUGGAUGCCCUGGCAGUCAGAGGCGAUGAAGGACGUGCUAAUCUGCGAAAAGCGCCGGUAAGGUGAUAUGAACCGUUAUAACCGGCGAUGUCCGAAUGGGGAAACCCGGUGCACUUCGGUGCAUCAUCGUUAGCUGAAUACAUAGGCUAACGAGGCGAACCGGGGGAACUGAAACAUCUAAGUACCCCGAGGAAAAGAAAUCAACCGAGAUUCCCCCAGUAGCGGCGAGCGAACGGGGAACAGCCCAGAGCCUGAAUCAGCUUGUGUGUCAGUGGAACGGUCUGGAAAGGCCGGCGAUACAGGGUGACAGCCCCGUACACGAAAGCACACAGGCUGUGAGCUCGAUGAGUAGGGCGGGACACGUGAUAUCCUGUCUGAAGAUGGGGGGACCAUCCUCCAAGGCUAAAUACUCCUGACUGACCGAUAGUGAACCAGUACCGUGAGGGAAAGGCGAAAAGAACCCCGGCGAGGGGAGUGAAACAGAACCUGAAACCGUGUACGUACAAGCAGUGGGAGCCUUCGUAAGAGGGUGACUGCGUACCUUUUGUAUAAUGGGUCAGCGACUUAUAUUCUGUAGCAAGGUUAACCGUAUAGGGGAGCCGAAGGGAAACCGAGUCUUAAUUGGGCGUUAAGUUGCAGGGUAUAGACCCGAAACCCGGUGAUCUAGCCAUGGGCAGGUUGAAGGUUGGGUAACACUAACUGGAGGACCGAACCGACUAAUGUUGAAAAAUUAGCGGAUGACCUGUGGCUGGGGGUGAAAGGCCAAUCAAACCGGGAGAUAGCUGGUUCUCCCCGAAAGCUAUUUAGGUAGCGCCUCGUGAACUCAUCUCCGGGGGUAGAGCACUGUUUCGGCUAGGGGGCCAUCCCGGCUUACCAACCCGAUGCAAACUGCGAAUACCGGAGAAUGUUAUCACGGGAGACACACGGCGGGUGCUAACGUCCGUCGUGAAGAGGGAAACAACCCAGACCGCCAGCUAAGGUCCCAAAGUCAUGGUUAAGUGGGAAACGAUGUGGGAAGGCCCAGACAGCCAGGAUGUUGGCUUAGAAGCAGCCAUCAUUUAAAGAAAGCGUAAUAGCUCACUGGUCGAGUCGGCCUGCGCGGAAGAUGUAACGGGGCUAAACCAUGCACCGAAGCUGCGGCAGCGACACUAUGUGUUGUUGGGGAGGGGAGCGUUCUGUAAGCCUGCG